CAGAAAAUAGUUUAAAUUUAAAACUCUAGUCUUGGAUACUAAAAAUAGGCCAACUUUUUCUGA
RNAcentral lists this transfer RNA (63 nucleotides) under Lychas mucronatus (Chinese swimming scorpion). Its description in RNAcentral is "tRNA-Pro". Lineage: Eukaryota; Metazoa; Arthropoda; Arachnida; Scorpiones; Buthidae. The record is from RNAcentral.